GCAUUUGGAAGUUCCAGGCUAGGGGUCAAAUCAGAGCUGCAGCUUCCGGCCUGUAACACAACCAUAACAACGUGGGAUCCCAGCCUUAUCUUUGACCUACACCACAGCUUGUAACACUGAGCAAGGCCAGGAAUCAAACUCGCAUCCUCACAGAUACAAAUCAGGUUCUUAACCCACUGAGCCACAGUAGGAACUCUGAAACUAUUUUUGUUAAUGAAAAGGACUAAAAUGCUCUUUUUGUUCGGGAAUUUGCAUGUUAUCUUUACCUAGAAGUCAAACUUACCUUGAUUCUAGUCAUUUAAAUGUAAUAUUUUGUGUUUUGUAAUUGAGCACAGAUACAUUUUUUUUUCAAAUACAAACUACAUGAUUCUUUGAUCACUCCUGUAGUAGAGACAAUUAACAGGUAACAGGUACUUGAUCUGCCUUCUUUUCUGUGUAGACAUAUGGAUUCUAUUCCAUUAUACAUAGAAUCCAUACCUAUACAUACACACUCCCAUUUGUGCAUACACACAUAUUUCCAUCUACAUCUCUAUCUAUGUCUAUAUCAUACCUGUAAGCUGACCAUCUAGCAUAAAGAACAAGACUCUCCUGUGGCUGGAUGUGCCCAUGUGACUAAACACUGGCCAGCUGAAUGUAAGUGGCAGUGAUGUGUCCACCUCGUAGGAAAUGCAGAUUCCUCAUCUCCCUUCUCCCUCCCUGCACUUUGGAAUGAAACUAAGUGCCUGGGGCUUUAACAAUAAACUUAUCCUUUCGUUCUAUCAUCACUUGAGAACAAUGUUAAUAUUCCCAACUCAUUAUAUUCAUUUCUCCCUCUGGUUCCAUCAAUUUUUGAUUUAUGUAGAAACAGUUCUGCUAUAGGUGCACAUAUAUUCAGGAUUAUUAUGGUCUGAUGAGUUGACAUUUAAUAUUAUGCAGUUACAUAGAAGUUGCAAGUUGAUAUAAUGACAUUCAGCAUCAUAAAAAACCCUCUAUCUCAGGUAACAGUAUUUAUAUCCAAGUUUACUUGCUCUCAUAUAAUGCAGCUCUGUAUAUGUAUAUCUAUAUAGUUAACAUACCUCCUAUGUAAACUGCAUAUAGUUGGGUCAUAAAUUUUUCUAUCUAGCAUGAAAAUCUUUGUCAUAUAUCAAUAUAAUUAUUAUAAUCUUUGGAUUUUAUUCUUUUUUAUACUUGUUUCCUCUUCUCUUUGUUCUUUUCUUUUUUGUGUUCUUCAGGUUUAAUCAGUUACUUUUAGGGUUUUAUAUAUUUUCUUCUCCCUUAGCUCUGCCUUAGUGUGUGUGUGUAUGGUGCAGUACCUUUCUUUUUUAGGGUCAGGCUACUCUCCCUCGCUGCAUUCAUCAAAGUGGUACUCAGGGAUCUAGGUUGCUGCCACUUUGUGACACUGCAAUUUUAACAUGGGAUCAUACAGGGUAUUUUUUGUUCUGGCUUGGAAGUGGAAAACAUCCCCUUCUCCCAUAUUCAGUUACCAAAGUGCAGUCACAUGUUACAAUGUAACUGGACAGGAUGUUAAGAAAGAUUAGACGACAUGUAUUUGAAGCAGGGAAAAGGGAAGGAAAUAUCUCAGGUGGAGGAAACAGCAUGAACAAUAAGCAGAAGAUAACAAUGCAGUGGAAACUGAGCAGAUGGAUUUUUUUUUUAGAGAGUGGUGGUAACUAUAGUGAGAUGAUAAGAUGUGUUGAGAUUAUAGAGGUUUUGAAAUUCAGCCAGAAAUGCUGAGGUUUCGCUGUGUCUUUGGAAAUAUGAUAGGUUACAUAGUUCAUAGAUGUCUACUUCCUCACCCUGCCUGCACAUCCUGUUAAAUGUGACUCGCCUUGCCUUCUGAUAGGUGGAAUGUAUCUCCCUGCCCCUCUUCUGGCCCAGUCAUGUGACUUUUUUCAGGCCAAUGUAGUCUGAGCAGUCAUGUCAUAUGCUACCUCCAUGAAAAAGUUUAUAUUUGAUUGUAUGGCCAAGUUAGUCCUCUCGUGCAUCUAAUCUCUGUCUUAAGUAAAGCACGCCACCAAUAGACCCUGCUUCCUUGUUGUGGACUGGAAUGAAAAGCCACUAGCAGAACUGCAGACAAUAUUCAGAUUACAUACACUGAGGAUAAGAAAUAAGUACCAAUGUUUAGAGCAAAGUCGACAGACACAGUAAGUACUAAAAUAUGGUUUCUAAUUUUUUUUCUUUAUGGGGGGAAGUGUAGAAUAGACAGCAGAACAACAUUAGGAAUGAUAAAGUAUAAUAACUUAGUACCUGGGUUUCAGAACUAGACAAAGGUGGAUACAACCAUUCUGUAUUCCCCCUACCAUGCCGGUCAAUCACAAUUUAUUUUUUGUUUUUGUAAAUCAUUUAUAAUAAUCCAUAUUCCACAGAACUUUAGUGAAAUAGAAAUGUAUGCCCAGUGCUUAACUUCAAAUUUGUUUAAGAGUUAUCAUUGGUAAUGUAUAAACACUUUUUUGGGGAUCACACCCAUGGCAUACAGAAGUUCCCAGGCCAAGGAUCAAACCCACACAGUGACAAGUGCCUAAUCCUUUACUGCUAGGCCACCAAGGAAUACCCUAAACGCUAUCAAUAUGCACCAAACCAAGUUCUUGAACCAGGUCAUAAGCGUGGGUCUGAAGGAUGCAGUGUGGCCUGAUAGAAAGGUGCCUGAUGCUGUUAAACCAAAGACUGAUGCUUAGAACUCCAGGUCUGCAGCUAGAGCUCUUUUUGCAAAUCAUCUAAACUUUAGUCCCUUUGCCUCCAAAUUAUAGGCAAAUCAUAACUAUCUCACCUAAGAUAAGAUGUAACCUUAAGAUGUAAAUGCAAUCCCAGGUGCCAAGCACCUUUUAAAUUCAGGACAUGGAAUACAGUACAACUUCAUAAGAGCCACUGCAAAGUGCAUGGGCUCUUAUGAAGAAAUUGCAGAGGGGUUGAAGUACAAAAAUUGAAACACCUGAUGAGAGUCAUUUAAUCACCUUGGGAUGCAGAGAUUUCAACUGGAAAAUUGGGAUGCUACUUCAAAAGCAUUUUAUGUGUUGACUAAUUUAUGAUCAGGAGGCACUUUAAAAAGCCAAGCAUCCAGCCUCAUAAUAGCAUAUUAAUAGCAAUAAAAACUAGCAUGCCAUGCAAAUUCUAAAUCUAAAACACAUUCUGUAUAAAUUCCCUUGGCAAAUUCAUUUGGCCCUAAUAGAACCAUUCAUUUUCCAUCUUAAGAUGCAGUUCAGCAUUAGUCUGGUUAUCACAGAGCUAUUUUAUUCUACUCCAGGGGAGAAUACUUGAGUCGGAUGAAAUGAUCCCUCUGUGAAGUUACUAUACAUCCUUUAGUUAAACUGGUUGGCAUGGGAAAGCUUAAUUAGCAACUGUAAAGCAUUUUUUUUUCAAAUUUUCACAUAGAUUUCCAGGAAAAUUAUCUUGCAUUAUGAUUUUUUCACUCUACGUAUUUGCUUAUUAAAGGCAUAUGGCCUCUUCUCUCUCUCUUUCUCGCUCUCUCUUUGAAUUCUGUUUUUAGUCACCUGGGGGUGAAUGCGAGGAUAGGCAUCUCUUAAGGAAAAAUAAACACGUCACUAAGGUCUUUAUGUUUUGCUUUAUUUUUUGAAUGCCUAUAUGUUUUAUUACAGAAAAGAGAUGACUAUGUCAUAAUAAACAAAAGAUAGAAAAGGUUAUUUGAGGAUGAAGAAGAGUGUAAAAUAAUAAGUACCCAAUUAUAACAAACCCACAAAGGCUAUGAAUUAGAGCUUUGUGGACAGGUGGAUCAGGGGCUGGAGAAAGAGUCAAUAACAACAAAAAAAUGCAUUAACUAAAAGAAUGAAAAAAAAAACCCUUCUUUUUGUGGGAUAUGACAGUCCACUUACAAAAUGAAAUGUAAAUAUAUAUGUACAUAUAUAUCAGUGUAAAUAAAUUAGGGAAAAUGAGUUUCAUUUAUUCAUUUGUAGAGAUGACACUGUUGAAAGAAAUUGGAAAUGCAUGUAUGUGGUGUGAUUCCACUUAGGUAAAAAUGAAACGAAUUUUAAUAUCUUCUCUACACAGGUGCUUGUACAUAUCUAUGAGUUCAGGAAAAGGUUCACACCAUCCUGGUAAAAGUGACUGGAUAUCUGGAUGUAUGUCAUCUUAGUAAGGACAGAAAUUGUUUUCUCAUCUUUGCAUUCCAAAGAUAAAAUUGUCUCUGGUCUUUCUGCCAGCUCAUGAUCACAUAGAUAAAAUGGUAGGUAUACCAGAAUAUCUCACUGUCCAAAGGAGAAUUCUCUUGGAACAUUUCUUCCCCUUCUGUGAUACUGAUUGAUACACCUGAGUGUGUGAAGUUCCACUCAUGGAAAGUACUAUUUUUUUAAAUGUGCACUUCAUAAUACUUCAGGGUUUGCCACAAAUGUUCACUUAUAAAAUGCAGGUAACUUUUCUGCACAGCAAAGGCAACAAUCAAUAGAGUGAAAUGACAAUCUAUGAAAUGAAAGAAAAUAUUUGCAAACCAUAUAUCUGAUAAGAGGUUACUGUCCAAAAUAUAUAUAGAACUCAAAUACUCAACAGCAAAAACAAAAACAACAACAGAAAAACAAAUAAUAUGAUACAGAAAAUGAGCAAAGGACCUGACUAGGCAUUUCUCAAAACAAGACCUACAAAUGGGCAACAGAUACAUGCAAAGGUGCUCAGCAUCACUAAUCAUCAGAGAAACGAAAAUCAAAACCACAAUGAGUUAUUACUCACACCUGUUAGGAUAGCUAUUAUCAAAAAGACGAAAGAAAAGAAGAGUUGGUGAGGAUGUGGAGAAAAAGGAACCUCCCUGUGCUGUUCGUAGGGACGUAACUUGGUGAAGCCAUUAUUAAAAACACUAUAGAGGCUCUUCAAACAAUUAAAAAUAGAACUAACAUGUGAUGCAACAAUCCCACUUCUGUGUGUAAAUCCAAAGGAAACGAAAUCAGUAUCUUGAAGAGAUAUCCAGUCUCCUACAUUCACUAUAGUAUUAUUUUCAAUAGGCAAGAUAUGGAAACAAUCUACUCGUCUUUCAUCAAUGAAUAAAGAAAAUAUGAGAUACACACACACACACUCAGAGUGGAAUAUUAUUUUGCCAUAGAAAAGAAUUCUGCCAUUUGUUACAACAUGGAUAAAUAUGAAGGACAUUACUAAUGGAAAUAAACCAGAUACGGGAAGAUCAAUACUGCCCAAUCUCACACAAAUGUGAAAUCUAAAACAGGUGAACUCAUAACAGCAAAGAGUAGAGUAGAAUGGGGCUAGGCGAAGAGGAAAAUGUGGAGAUGCUGGUUAGAGUGUACAAAGAUUCAGUAAUUCAGAAUGGAUAAAUUCUGGAAGUCUAGUGGCUAGCACAGUGACACUAAUUAACACCAUACCGUAUCCUUGACUUUUACUAAAAGAUUUGAAGUGUUCUCACCACCACCAAAACAAAAACAAACACACAAAAAACAGGAACUAUGUGAGGUGAGGGACGUUAAUUAGCUUGUUUGUGACAAUCAUUUUACAACAUAUGUACAUUGAAACAUCAAGUUGUACACUUUACAUAUAUACAUUUUUAUCUGUUAAUUGUACCUCAAGAAAGCUGGAAAAAACAAACUGGGUAUAGCAAUGGUUCUCAAACAGGAUUACUGGAUAGACUAAAUUGAUAAAUUUUUAAAGCAUAUUUUCGCAUCUUUGCAAUGUGUGGUAUUUAGUCACUCUUUCCCUGAAGGUCCUAGUAUCUUUCUGCAUGAAAUAGUGGAGAGGAACUUAGAACUGAAAAUGCAAAACUUGGCUGUACUUAUCACCAGAUGUGUAAUUUUUGGAUGAGUCCUUCCCCUUUCUGACCUCAGUUCGUCCUUUUUUGUAAAAUAUUUUUGCAAAAUAUCUAUGAUAAUAAUAUAUAAUUCUCCAUGCUUUAGGAAUGAAUGAGACAGUGUGUGUCAAAAUGCUUCAGGAAGACCAACAGGCCCUAAGACAACAGAUGUUAUAAUUCACCAAUAUAUAUCUCAAGGAGAAACAAUUAUGAAGACAUUCAUACUAAAUAUAAAAGGACUGAGAAAGUUUAAUUAUCUUUCCAUGGAGACUUGCUUUUUAGUAGUACUGAAAACCAAUUUUUAUUCUAUAGAACACUAGGUUCAAGGAGCAUUAAUAUUGUUAAGAUGCAUUGUUUGACAACAAAACUCUAAAGUUAGAUAUAUUUUGACAGCAAAGUCUGAUAAAAUACUUACUGCAUACUCCCCAUUGUACUUAGUCUGAAGAUAGCAAGAUUAACAUAAAAGACAUUAAUAGCCUUAGAAUAGAUCUUGCAUUCUCAUAGGAAAAGUAAAAGAUAAAAAAACCCAACAAACAAGAUUGUUGUAGCUAGUGAUAAGAACAAAUAAAAUGCUGUGAUAGUAAAUAAUCAGGGAAAGGGGGCUAUUUAGAAAGGUGGUUGAAGAGAGGCAGCUCAGCUGAUAUAGGGGCUAAGGUCUAAAAGCUGCAGAGGAAGCCCUCAGAUGUAUAAACAAGUGAUAUCUCUUCCAAGUGGAAGGAACAGCAAGUUCAGGCAAAAGCCACCUGAAAAAGAAAGAGCUUCUGUUUUUUCGAACAUGAGAAGAAAAUGUGGCUUAAGCAUGGUGAGCCAAUGGAGAGAGGAAAAGAACUGAAGCUUCAGGUUAGUCAGGGAUAGGGUAUAUUCUAGAUUGAGAAAGUACUGGUAAAGCAUUUGAAUUUUAGUAAGUCCUAGAAAGGAAACAACUAUAUUAAUGACUC
Non-coding RNA from Sus scrofa (pig), 6651 nucleotides. Lineage: Eukaryota; Metazoa; Chordata; Mammalia; Artiodactyla; Suidae. The record is from RefSeq and is a predicted model, not a curated record.